GUACUUAUCGUUGAGCGCCGCCGAGAACGGUGUGGCGAACGUGCCUUCCGGAUAGCUGUU
This 60-nucleotide small RNA is filed under the name Sinorhizobium meliloti 2011. RNAcentral's name for it is "putative ncRNA". The record is from RNAcentral. Lineage: Bacteria; Pseudomonadati; Pseudomonadota; Alphaproteobacteria; Hyphomicrobiales; Rhizobiaceae.